AAUGCACGACGACCCGGGAUACAACCCCAACCCGAGAGAAAUUAAGAUACCACGCAAUGUUUCCUGUAUAUGCGUAUCACGGUCUUCCCCCCUGAUAAGCUUGUAUGCUAUCGAUCCUGAUAGUUGGAAUUGCACUGAUUGCCUAAAAAACCCCUUUCCCUGUCGUGAAUUCAAAGUUGUAGGAAUAAAUUUUAUGAGCGGUCGAGGAUAUAUGCGACGGAAAUUUUAAUCGACUGAUAAUCGUGUUCACCGAUUCCUUCAUCCGCCCCAUUCCAGUUUUGGCUCCAAAUUUGCUGUUUGCGCAUUAUACAAUUGGGUAUCUCUAAUUUCACGCGGUUGUCGAUGGCUAAUGAAGAAAGUUCCCGAACGGUUGCAUGUCCGAAUAAUGACUUGACAACCGUGUUGCUCUUGCUUGAGGAAAUAAUUCGGAACUACCAAACUAACUUGUUACACAUCUCGUUUAUGAUCACAAUGUUAUGCCCACAAAACCGCAAGCGUAAAAGUUGGGAUCGUCUAGGUCAGUCUGUGGUUUUAGACUCUAUUCCGGCUCAUGUUCGUCAUCUGGAUAGACUAUUUCGAGAAUCAGAUAGGACAUGUGUGUAUAACUUAAGAAUGGACAAAAACCAUCAUACAUUGUGGCUUGAAACAAGGGCGUUGUAUGCAAUUACAUACCUGAUGUCUUAUAAUUUAGUGGUAAAAAGUUUCCCAGUUGAAUUUGCAGAAUUGUGUUUGUGUUGCAGCAUUUAGCCUUCCUCGGCGAAGAGCAAAAAAGACUGGCGCGAGAAUAAAAAUUUGAGCGCCUUUUAUGAUUUGUUAUGGAUGGUGUUAGGUUUUGAAGGACAAAAUUGGAUAUAUACAAAUUGUAUGAGGGCAAA
Molecule: long non-coding RNA, 875 nt
Organism: Salvia hispanica
Lineage: Eukaryota; Viridiplantae; Streptophyta; Magnoliopsida; Lamiales; Lamiaceae
Source: RefSeq, a predicted model, not a curated record